RNAcentral lists this ribosomal RNA (433 nucleotides) under uncultured bacterium. Its description in RNAcentral is "partial 16S ribosomal RNA". It matches the Rfam family "Bacterial small subunit ribosomal RNA", at positions 29 to 507 of the family's 1533-position model. The record is from RNAcentral.
AACGAACGCUGGCGGCAUGCCUAACACAUGCAAGUCGAACGAGACCUCCGGGUCUAGUGGCGCACGGGUGCGUAACGCGUGGGAACCUGCCCUUAGGUUCGGAAUAACUCCCCGAAAGGGGUGCUAAUACCGGAUAAUGUCUUCGGACCAAAGAUCUAUCGCCUUUGGAUGGGCCCGCGUUGGAUUAGCUAGUUGGUAGGGUAAAAGCCUACCAAGGCGACGAUCCCUAGCUGGUCUGAGAGGAUGAUCAGCCACACUGGGACUGAGACACGGCCCAGACUCCUACGGGAGGCAGCAGUGGGGAAUAUUGGACAAUGGGCGAAAGCCUGAUCCAGCAAUGCCGCGUGAGUGAUGAAGGCCUUAGGGUUGUAAAGCUCUUUUACCCGGGAUGAUAAUGACAGUACCGGGAGAAUAAGCUCCGGCUAACUCCGUG